GGUAGCCAAAUGCCUCGUCAUCUA
This 24-nucleotide non-coding RNA is filed under the name Arabidopsis thaliana (thale cress). The record is from RNAcentral. Lineage: Eukaryota; Viridiplantae; Streptophyta; Magnoliopsida; Brassicales; Brassicaceae. RNAcentral also lists the same sequence under 8 other names.